AACGAACGCUGGCGGCAUGCCUAACACAUGCAAGUCGAACGAGACCUUCGGGUCUAGUGGCGCACGGGUGCGUAACGCGUGGGAAUCUGCCCUUGGGUUCGGAAUAACAGUUGGAAACGACUGCUAAUACCGGAUGAUGACGUAAGUCCAAAGAUUUAUCGCCCAAGGAUGAGCCCGCGUAGGAUUAGCUAGUUGGUGAGGUAAAGGCUCACCAAGGCGACGAUCCUUAGCUGGUCUGAGAGGAUGAUCAGCCACACUGGGACUGAGACACGGCCCAGACUCCUACGGGAGGCAGCAGUGGGGAAUAUUGGACAAUGGGCGAAAGCCUGAUCCAGCAAUGCCGCGUGAGUGAUGAAGGCCUUAGGGUUGUAAAGCUCUUUUACCCGGGAUGAUAAUGACAGUACCGGGAAAAUAAGCUCCGGCUAACUCCGUG
RNAcentral lists this ribosomal RNA (433 nucleotides) under uncultured bacterium. Its description in RNAcentral is "partial 16S ribosomal RNA". It matches the Rfam family "Bacterial small subunit ribosomal RNA", at positions 29 to 507 of the family's 1533-position model. The record is from RNAcentral.